This 1277-nucleotide long non-coding RNA is filed under the name Sorghum bicolor (sorghum). RNAcentral's name for it is "long non-coding RNA (SBIC_LNC004574)". Lineage: Eukaryota; Viridiplantae; Streptophyta; Magnoliopsida; Poales; Poaceae. The record is from RNAcentral.
CUGACUAGCUGGACCGUGGUAGUAGCGACGAACGUGACAUUUCCGAGUUACCUUUGUAUCCCACAUCUCGUUAGCAGGAAGGGUAGGUUCAUAGGUGCGGGUCGAACAUCCUUUGUGGUGUCUAGAUUCCGUGAGCCUCCCCAAUAGAAUAGUAGAUCAUCCUUACCAAGGUUAGAACGAGACUACGGUUGUAGUCUUCUCUAUACAUCGCUCACAUCGAGAAACAUUCUUUGUAGCCUAAAGGGAUAGUAGCAAUAGAUUUGGUUAGUCAGAUGCACCCUUUCUCCCAGUGGUAAAAAUAUAAAAAUGAACUCUGGAAAACCUCCUGGGUGAAAUGCUCACCGAUAUUCGUGCGCUUGCGGAUCAUUUUCUUAUUGCGUUACCAAAUAUCAACAAGCAUCUCUAGCACCGUAGCUGGGGAGAAAGACGGUUUGCUGAGAUAACUUUAAGUCUUGCUAUUAUCUUGUAUUAUACUUUUAUACUUUUAUUCUUUUAUCUUUUUAUUUUUUCCAUUUUUAUGGAUAACUCAAAUUCCAUACCUGUUACUGAAUUCUUUGCACCUUCGGAGACCAGCCAUAGACCAUGGGAGUCAACAAGUCCUGCCCCUAAUUAUGAUCUGUGUCCGGAGUUGAUUGCAAUAGGUCAAAAUCAACCCUUUUCUAUAGCCGAGGUCCUAUCUUUUAAUCAAGAAGAUAAUGCACUUUUAGCUACACCUAGGGAAUCUAAAUCUUUCUAUAAAUUCUGGUUUAGACCUAGCCCAACAAGACCAUGUUUUUUCUCGAUAUUUUUACAUUGGUCUUAAUCAUAUACCCUUUGGUAGAGUCUUUCUUUCUUUAUCUAUUAGUAAAGGAAGUUAGGUCUUCAUUCGUAGACAUCCUUCUUGCACUAGUCUUCAUAGAAAAAUCUUAGAGAUAGAGAAGUAAUCAUCUCCCAGACGAGGAAAGGAAGUUUCAAUAGCCAAUUUCCAAACAUUUGAAUCCCAUGAUUCAGCUAUCCAACCCAUCCUUGAGCUUAAUAAUUUUUACUAUGCUAUUUCUCUUGAACCUCCCGAUAAUCCUAUGAAUCUCUCUAGACAUCCCAUGCAUAAGAGUCACCAAGACCACAAGGAGGAUCGAGAAGAGCAACAUCAAUGGCUAGAGGGCAUUAAAAAUUCAUGUGCUAUCACCAUUGAAUGGAUGGAUAAAACAGACUUGAGAGACAAUCCUAGAGGAAUUUUUAGCAUUCAUGAAGAAUCAUCAUUGGAGUUUGAGAAUGAGAGAAACAACAGUGAGCAUGGA